CGCUCAGGACGAACGCUGGCGGCGUGCCUAAUACAUGCAAGUCGAGCGGACAGAUGGGAGCUUGCUCCCUGAAGUCAGCGGCGGACGGGUGAGUAACACGUGGGCAACCUGCCUGUAAGACUGGGAUAACUCCGGGAAACCGGGGCUAAUACCGGAUAAUUCUUUCCCUCACAUGAGGGAAAGCUGAAAGAUGGUUUCGGCUAUCACUUACAGAUGGGCCCGCGGCGCAUUAGCUAGUUGGUGAGGUAACGGCUCACCAAGGCAACGAUGCGUAGCCGACCUGAGAGGGUGAUCGGCCACACUGGGACUGAGACACGGCCCAGACUCCUACGGGAGGCAGCAGUAGGGAAUCUUCCGCAAUGGACGAAAGUCUGACGGAGCAACGCCGCGUGAGUGAUGAAGGUUUUCGGAUCGUAAAACUCUGUUGUUAGGGAAGAACAAGUACCGGAGUAACUGCCGGUACCUUGACGGUACCU
Molecule: ribosomal RNA, 476 nt
Filed under: Cytobacillus firmus
Lineage: Bacteria; Bacillati; Bacillota; Bacilli; Caryophanales; Bacillaceae
Description: bacterial SSU rRNA
Rfam family: Bacterial small subunit ribosomal RNA
Source: RNAcentral